This 279-nucleotide ribosomal RNA is filed under the name uncultured bacterium. Its description in RNAcentral is "partial 16S ribosomal RNA". It matches the Rfam family "Bacterial small subunit ribosomal RNA", at positions 506 to 784 of the family's 1533-position model. The record is from RNAcentral.
UGCCAGCCGCCGCGGUAAUACAGAGGGUGCAAACGUUGUUCGGAAUUACUGGGCGUAAAGCGCGUGUAGGCGGCAUGUUAAGUCGACUGUGAAAGCCCAUAGCUCAACUAUGGAAGUGCAGUCGAUACUGGCAAGCUCGAGUCCCGGAGAGGAUGAUGGAAUUCCCAGUGUAGAGGUGAAAUUCGUAGAUAUUGGGAGGAACACCGGUGGCGAAGGCGACCAUCUGGACGGGUACUGACGCUGAGACGCGAAAGCGUGGGGAGCAAACAGGAUUAGAUA